ACUUUUAAAGAAAGUAGUCAUCCGGUGGCCUUAGGAGCCAAAACUCU
Molecule: transfer RNA, 47 nt
Filed under: Bradypodion occidentale
Lineage: Eukaryota; Metazoa; Chordata; Lepidosauria; Squamata; Chamaeleonidae
Description: partial tRNA-Leu
Source: RNAcentral